UCUCCUUCUUCUUUUCUUCUUCUUCUCCUCUUCCUUCUCCUUCUCCUCCUCCUCUUCCUCCUCCUCCUCCUCCUUCUUUUACUUCUUCUUCUCUUUCUCUUCUUCUACGUAGCUUAGACUCAUCCAAGAAAGGCUAAAUUGGCUAAUUAUCCUACAAAAUAACAUAAUUAGCUUAGUUAGCUCCAAAAUGACCUAUUUAAU
Molecule: long non-coding RNA, 201 nt
Filed under: Hordeum vulgare
Lineage: Eukaryota; Viridiplantae; Streptophyta; Magnoliopsida; Poales; Poaceae
Description: long non-coding RNA (HVUL_LNC007280)
Source: RNAcentral